This 119-nucleotide small nuclear RNA is filed under the name Echinops telfairi (small Madagascar hedgehog). RNAcentral's name for it is "U1 spliceosomal RNA (ENSETEG00000026440.1)". It matches the Rfam family "U1 spliceosomal RNA", at positions 32 to 166 of the family's 166-position model. Rfam says of the family: U1 is a small nuclear RNA (snRNA) component of the spliceosome (involved in pre-mRNA splicing). Its 5' end forms complementary base pairs with the 5' splice junction, thus defining the 5' donor site of an intron. There are significant differences in sequence and secondary structure between metazoan and yeast U1 snRNAs, the latter being much longer (568 nucleotides as compared to 164 nucleotides in human). The record is from RNAcentral. Lineage: Eukaryota; Metazoa; Chordata; Mammalia; Afrosoricida; Tenrecidae.
AAGAUUUCCUGGGGGCCGGGCGAGGCUCAUCUAUUGCACUGCAGAUGUGCUGACCCCAAAUGUGGGCAACUCGACUGCAUAAUUUGUGGAGUGGGGGAGUGCGUUCGUGCUCUCCCCUC